GCCUGGGUGGCUUAGUUGGUUAAGCAUCUGACUUUGGCUCAGGUCAUGAUCUCAUGGUUCGUAAGUUUGAGCCUCACUACAGGUG
Molecule: transfer RNA, 85 nt
Filed under: Felis catus (domestic cat)
Lineage: Eukaryota; Metazoa; Chordata; Mammalia; Carnivora; Felidae
Rfam family: tRNA
About the family: Transfer RNA (tRNA) molecules are approximately 80 nucleotides in length.
Source: Rfam by way of RNAcentral